This 465-nucleotide ribosomal RNA is filed under the name Vreelandella stevensii. Its description in RNAcentral is "partial 16S ribosomal RNA". It matches the Rfam family "Bacterial small subunit ribosomal RNA", at positions 338 to 795 of the family's 1533-position model. Lineage: Bacteria; Pseudomonadati; Pseudomonadota; Gammaproteobacteria; Oceanospirillales; Halomonadaceae. The record is from RNAcentral.
CCUACGGGCGGCUGCAGUGGGGAAUAUUGGACAGUGGGGGGAACCCUGAUCCAGCCAUGCCGCGUGUGUGAAGAAGGCCCUCGGGUUGUAAAGCACUUUCAGUGAGGAAGAACGCCUGGUGGUGAAUACCCAUCAGGAAAGACAUCACUCACAGAAGAAGCACCGGCUAACUCCGUGCCAGCAGCCGCGGUAAUACGGAGGGUGCGAGCGUUAAUCGGAAUUACUGGGCGUAAAGCGCGCGUAGGUGGCUUGAUAAGCCGGUUGUGAAAGCCCCGGGCUCAACCUGGGAACGGCAUCCGGAACUGUCAAGCUAGAGUGCAGGAGAGGAAGGCGGAAUUCCCGGUGUAGCGGUGAAAUGCGUAGAGAUCGGGAGGAAUACCAGUGGCGAAGGCGGCCUUCUGGACUGACACUGACACUGAGGUGCGAAAGCGUGGGUAGCAAACAGGAUUAGAUACCCGAGUAGUC